CCUACGGGAGGCAGCGGUGAGGAAUAUUGGUCAAUGGACGAGAGUCUGAACCAGCCAAGUAGCGUGAAGGAUGACUGCCCUAUGGGUUGUAAACUUCUUUUAUAUGGGAAUAAAAUGUUCCACGUGUGGGAUUUUGUAUGUACCAUAUGAAUAAGGAUCGGCUAACUCCGUGCCAGCAGCCGCGGUAAUACGGAGGAUCCGAGCGUUAUCCGGAUUUAUUGGGUUUAAAGGGAGCGUAGGUGGAUUGUUAAGUCAGUUGUGAAAGUUUGCGGCUCAACCGUAAAAUUGCAGUUGAAACUGGCAGUCUUGAGUACAGUAGAGGUGGGCGGAAUUCGUGGUGUAGCGGUGAAAUGCUUAGAUAGCACGAAGAACUCCGAUUGCGAAGGCAGUUCACUGGACUGCAACUGACACUGAGGCUCGAAAGUGUGGGUAUCAAACAGGAUUAGAUACCCUUGUAGUC
This 460-nucleotide ribosomal RNA is filed under the name uncultured bacterium. RNAcentral's name for it is "partial 16S ribosomal RNA". It matches the Rfam family "Bacterial small subunit ribosomal RNA", at positions 338 to 795 of the family's 1533-position model. The record is from RNAcentral.